RNAcentral lists this ribosomal RNA (273 nucleotides) under uncultured bacterium. RNAcentral describes it as "partial 16S ribosomal RNA". It matches the Rfam family "Bacterial small subunit ribosomal RNA", at positions 524 to 796 of the family's 1533-position model. The record is from RNAcentral.
UACAGAGGGGGCAAGCGUUGUUCGGAAUUACUGGGCGUAAAGCGUGUGUAGGCGGUUUGCUAAGUCGGGUGUGAAAGCCCCGGGCUCAACCCGGGAAGUGCACUCGAAACUGGCAGGCUAGAGUACUGGAGAGGUUGGUGGAAUUCUCGGUGUAGAGGUGAAAUUCGUAGAUAUCGAGAGGAACACCGGUGGCGAAGGCGGCCAACUGGACAGAUACUGACGCUGAGACACGAAAGCGUGGGGAGCAAACAGGAUUAGAUACCCUCGUAGUCC